GCAAACUUGGUCAUUUAGAGGAAGUAAAAGUCGUAACAAGGUUUCCGUAGGUGAACCUGCGGAAGGAUCAUUAAUGAGUUGUGAUGGGGUUUGAUGCUGGCAGCCAACUCUUGUUGGAUGCAUGUGCUUGCCCUAACAAUCAUCUUCCAAACACCUGUGCACAUUUUUUUUUUUUUAAGGGAUUUGUGAGUCUUGAUUGCCACCUUUUGGUGAUUUUCUUGCAUUUCCCUUGAAUCCAUUAUACACUGUCUGCAAUGCUGUGAACGUGCUUUGUGCCGUUAAGGCCUUUUGAUAUAUAAUACAACUUUUAACAACGGAUCUCUUGGCUCUCGCAUCGAUGAAGAACGCAGC
This 351-nucleotide unclassified non-coding RNA is filed under the name uncultured fungus. RNAcentral's name for it is "partial contains small subunit ribosomal RNA, internal transcribed spacer 1, and 5.8S ribosomal RNA". The stretch from base 1 to 73 matches the Rfam family "Eukaryotic small subunit ribosomal RNA", at positions 1759 to 1831 of the family's 1831-position model. Lineage: Eukaryota; Fungi. The record is from RNAcentral.